AGAACGAACGCUGGCGGCAUGCCUAAUACAUGCAAGUCGAACGAACACUUCGGUGUUAGUGGCGCACGGGUGCGUAACGCGUGGGAAUCUGCCCUUGGGUUCGGAAUAACAGCGAGAAAUUGCUGCUAAUACCGGAUGAUGACGUAAGUCCAAAGAUUUAUCGCCCAAGGAUGAGCCCGCGUAGGAUUAGCUUGUUGGUGAGGUAAGAGCUCACCAAGGCGACGAUCCUUAGCUGGUCUGAGAGGAUGAUCAGCCACACUGGGACUGAGACACGGCCCAGACUCCUACGGGAGGCAGCAGUGGGGAAUAUUGGACAAUGGGCGAAAGCCUGAUCCAGCAAUGCCGCGUGAGUGAUGAAGGCCUUAGGGUUGUAAAGCUCUUUUACCCGGAUGAUAAUGACAGUACCGGAGAAUAAGCUCCGGCUAACUCCGUGCCAGCAGCCGAC
RNAcentral lists this ribosomal RNA (445 nucleotides) under uncultured soil bacterium. RNAcentral's name for it is "bacterial SSU rRNA". It matches the Rfam family "Bacterial small subunit ribosomal RNA", at positions 26 to 518 of the family's 1533-position model. The record is from RNAcentral.